This 1343-nucleotide ribosomal RNA is filed under the name uncultured bacterium. Its description in RNAcentral is "bacterial SSU rRNA". It matches the Rfam family "Bacterial small subunit ribosomal RNA", at positions 28 to 1381 of the family's 1533-position model. The record is from RNAcentral.
GACGAACGCUGGCGGCGUGCUUAACACAUGCAAGUCGAGCGGAAAGGCCACUUCGGUGGUACUCGAGCGGCGAACGGGUGAGUAACACGUGAGUAAUCUGCCCUUGGCUUCGGGAUAGCCACCGGAAACGGUGAUUAAUACCGGAUAUGACCACUUCGUGCAUGCGAUGGUGGUGGAAAGUUUUUCGGCCAGGGAUGUGCUCGCGGCCUAUCAGCUUGAUGGUGAGGUAAUGGCUCACCAUGGCUUCGACGGGUAGCCGGCCUGAGAGGGUGACCGGUCACACUGGGACUGAGACACGGCCCAGACUCCUACGGGAGGCAGCAGUGGGGAAUAUUGGACAAUGGGCGGAAGCCUGAUCCAGCAACGCCGCGUGAGGGAUGACGGCCUUCGGGUUGUAAACCUCUUUCAGUACCGACGAAGCGCAAGUGACGGUAGGUACAGAAGAAGCACCGGCCAACUACGUGCCAGCAGCCGCGGUAAUACGUAGGGUGCGAGCGUUGUCCGGAAUUAUUGGGCGUAAAGGGCUCGUAGGCGGUUUGUCGCGUCGGGAGUGAAAACCAGGUGCUUAACACCUGGCUUGCUUUCGAUACGGGCAGACUAGAGGUAUUCAGGGGAGAACGGAAUUCCUGGUGUAGCGGUGAAAUGCGCAGAUAUCAGGAGGAACACCGGUGGCGAAGGCGGUUCUCUGGGAAUAUCCUGACGCUGAGGAGCGAAAGUGUGGGGAGCGAACAGGAUUAGAUACCCUGGUAGUCCACACCGUAAACGUUGGGCGCUAGGUGUGGGGUCCAUUCCACGGAUUCCGUGCCGCAGCUAACGCAUUAAGCGCCCCGCCUGGGGAGUACGGCCGCAAGGCUAAAACUCAAAGGAAUUGACGGGGGCCCGCACAAGCGGCGGAGCAUGCGGAUUAAUUCGAUGCAACGCGAAGAACCUUACCUGGGUUUGACAUACACCCUGCCGCUCCAGAGAUGGGGCUUCUUUUGGGGGUGUACAGGUGGUGCAUGGCUGUCGUCAGCUCGUGUCGUGAGAUGUUGGGUUAAGUCCCGCAACGAGCGCAACCCUCGUUCUAUGUUGCCAGCAUGCCCUUCGGGGUGAUGGGGACUCAUAGGAGACUGCCGGGGUCAACUCGGAGGAAGGUGGGGAUGACGUCAAGUCAUCAUGCCCCUUAUGUCCAGGGCUUCACGCAUGCUACAAUGGCCGGUACAAAGGGCUGCGAUCCCGUAAGGGGGAGCGAAUCCCAAAAAGCCGGUCUCAGUUCGGAUUGGGGUCUGCAACUCGACCCCAUGAAGUCGGAGUCGCUAGUAAUCGCAGAUCAGCAACGCUGCGGUGAAUACGUUCCCGGGCCU